RNAcentral lists this ribosomal RNA (253 nucleotides) under uncultured bacterium. RNAcentral describes it as "partial 16S ribosomal RNA". It matches the Rfam family "Bacterial small subunit ribosomal RNA", at positions 524 to 776 of the family's 1533-position model. The record is from RNAcentral.
GACGUAGGGCGCGAGCGUUGUCCGGAUUUAUUGGGCGUAAAGAGCUCGUAGGCGGUCUGUCGCGUCGGCUGUGAAAUCCCGAGGCUCAACCUCGGGUCUGCAGUCGAUACGGGCAAACUAGAGUAUUGCAGGGGAGACUGGAAUUCCUGGUGUAGAGGUGAAAUUCGUAGAUAUCGGGAGGAACACCUGUGGCGAAGGCGGCCAUCUGGACAACUACUGACACUGAGACGCGAAAGCGUGGGUAGCAAACAGG